RNAcentral lists this ribosomal RNA (456 nucleotides) under uncultured bacterium. Its description in RNAcentral is "bacterial SSU rRNA". It matches the Rfam family "Bacterial small subunit ribosomal RNA", at positions 339 to 796 of the family's 1533-position model. The record is from RNAcentral.
GUACGGAAGGCAGCAGUGGGGAAUCUUGCGCAAUGGCCUAACGGCUGACGCAGCGACGCCGCGUGAGGGAUGAAGCUCCUCGGAGUGUAAACCUCUGUUGCCCGGGACGAAUAGCGGAUUUUUCCGACUUGACGGUACCGGGUGAGGAAGCACCGGCUAACUCCGUGCCAGCAGCCGCGGUAAUACGGGGGGUGCGAGCGUUGUCCGGAAUCACUGGGCGUAAAGGGCGCGUAGGUGGCUUUGUAAGUUUGCGGUGAAAGCCCGGGGCUCAACCCCGGGUCUGCCGUGAAUACUGCAAGGCUUGAGUACUGUAGAGGCAGGUAGAAUAUCGGGUGUAGCGGUGGAAUGCGUAGAGAUCCGAUAGAAGACCGGUGGCGAAGGCGGCCUGCUGGGCAGUAACUGACACUGAGGCGCGACAGCGUGGGGAGCAAACAGGAUUAGAUACCCCAGUAGUCU